GACGUCAAGUCAGCAUGGCCCUUACGUCCGGGGCUACACACGUGCUACAAUGGCCGGUACAAAGGGUUGCGAAGCCGUGAGGUGGAGCGAAUCUCAAAAAGCCGGCCUCAGUUCGGAUCGGAGUCUGCAACCCGACUCCGUGAAGUUGGAUUCGCUAGUAAUCGCGCAUCAGCCAUGGCGCGGUGAAUACGUUCCCGGGCCUU
RNAcentral lists this ribosomal RNA (203 nucleotides) under uncultured Bacteroidales bacterium. RNAcentral's name for it is "partial 16S ribosomal RNA". It matches the Rfam family "Bacterial small subunit ribosomal RNA", at positions 1181 to 1382 of the family's 1533-position model. The record is from RNAcentral. Lineage: Bacteria; Pseudomonadati; Bacteroidota; Bacteroidia; Bacteroidales.